GCCAGCACCCUGGGCAGGAGGUGCUGGGAAGCCUGCUUUAGCCAUGGAGGAGCUCAGUGCUUGGGCUGCCUGUGCCUGUGUCUUGAGCCAGCUCUCCCUGUCACCUGUCCCCCGACCUGGGCAGGUGUGCCAGGCCUCCUGGGGGUGCGUCCUCCACAGCCUGUCUGUCCCCUGAGAGCCCGGUGCCCGGCUCGCCAGCAGCAGCUGCCCUGCCGGCUGUUGGUGCUGUGUGACCCCCUCCUCGGGUCCAGGCCUCUGCGGUUCUGCCCUAUCUUUCUCCCCUGGGUCUGCCCAUGCUGCCCCUCCCUCCAUCCAGCAGCGCUGUGUUCUCUCCAGGCUCUGCUUGGCCUCAGCUGUGGGAGCCCCCGUGGCUCUCUGGUAGCGUCUCUUGGGGACAGGGCUCCUUUCCCCACCUCUCCAGGCGGCUCUGUCUCCCGUGAGCUUCGGGUAACCAGGCCUUACGGGCAGGAAGUGAGGACGCCCUCUUGCUCCCCAGGGGACACUGCCAGCGCAGAGGGAUUCACUGCUCUCCUGUGCCCAGCAGCGCAGGAGCAGGCCAGUGGGAGCAGCGUCUACACAGGCACAUCAUGUUCUGGCUCAGAGCGGGGACUCAGCGGAAAGGAGACCAGGGAGGUGCAGUCUCCAGAGGAGCCAGCUGCUCUCACCCAGCCCCGAACCAGCAACGGGCAAGGGCAAGGGCAAGGGCAAAGGAGUCGGGUCUCCACCUCCAUCCCAGAGCUGAGCAUCCCUCCAGCCCUCCCCACCCAGCUGCUCAGAGGAGAAGCCCAGGCCUGGCUCAGGAGUCCUGCAAGGCACCAUGGACAGGGGUGGGGAGCGUGGGGCAGGGGUGAGGUCAAGAUGCUGAGGACAACAACAGCUAUUGUCAUUUUAUUGCACAUCUGCCAUGAGCCCCAUCCAUCCACCAGCCCUCGCUGUGACCACAGGCAUUUAAUCCCACAGUUGAUGCCCUGGACCAUGAGCCUCGAGACACGAGGGUGGGCGCGAGAGCCAGGGUCCCUUGCCUGA
This 1026-nucleotide long non-coding RNA is filed under the name Oryctolagus cuniculus (rabbit). RNAcentral's name for it is "lncRNA (ENSOCUG00000033039.1)". Lineage: Eukaryota; Metazoa; Chordata; Mammalia; Lagomorpha; Leporidae. The record is from RNAcentral.